GCAGACCACGUUAGAACCUCGGCUCCUGGAGUAGCAGAACCUCGGCUUCAAUGGGACCCUCAUUUCAUAAAUGAAGAAACUGAGAUUCAAAGAGGGGAACUACCGAAGGUUACAGAGCGAGUUCGUGGGCUUCCCAGAUGACCACCAAGGUGGAAGGGAUGAUGAUGUCCAGGCAGAAGGGAGCUAGGCCGGCCCAGGCUUUUCCUCUAGGCACAGCGGACUCCAGGUUCAGCCUUCCCGGAUGGCUUUAUUUGAGGAGCCUGGCAGUCCUAUAAGGGGAAACCCACCUAUUACUUCAAGCAAAGCUGAUGCAGAGAGAUGAGCCAAUUGAGCAGGAGACAAUGUAAGCAGCUGUGGGGGUGUCGAGUACUCCCUCCUGCCUGUGGGAGCUGCACCGUGGAGUCUAGCUUGUCACCCUCCGGAGGCAGAGCCCCUCCUCCCUGCCUCCUCUUGGUCUAGAUGGACAGCCAUGGCAGCGGAGGCUGCAGAGCUGAGCAGGUGAUACUGGGCAGCGACCCUGCUGCGGGCAGCGUCCACACCCCACAGCUCUUUACUGCAUUUAUUUAACAAGCGACAUUGAGCCAGCAAUCUCUGCUGAAAAGUGCUCAGCCCUGGAGAGAGAACUGUGAACAACGUGGACACAGCUCCUGCUUUGUGGAGCUUGGUGUCUGACUGGGGUAAAAAUAAACAAGCAGUUACAACACA
RNAcentral lists this long non-coding RNA (705 nucleotides) under Homo sapiens (human). Its description in RNAcentral is "uncharacterized LOC101929305, transcript variant 11 (LOC101929305)". Lineage: Eukaryota; Metazoa; Chordata; Mammalia; Primates; Hominidae. The record is from RNAcentral.